Nomascus leucogenys (northern white-cheeked gibbon) is the source of this 914-nucleotide long non-coding RNA. RefSeq lists it as uncharacterized. The record is from RefSeq and is a predicted model, not a curated record. The transcript is spliced from 2 exons. Lineage: Eukaryota; Metazoa; Chordata; Mammalia; Primates; Hylobatidae.
GAGACCUGCUCCACAAAGCAGGGGGACAGCGGCGUUCCCACUUGCACAAAAAGGCUGCAGGCCAGCUCCAUCUCGGCGCCUUGGCUGGAGUAAACACUACGUUUUUUAAGAUGUAGCUGUGUGGUGCUAUGCAUGCAUCCGAUCCUGGCUUCCAGCUUCUGGGCGAUACUCGACAGUGUGCAACUGCCACAUUUUCUUUAUCUGCUCUCCCAGUGAUGAACAUCCAGGUCGCCUUUAACUCCUCGCCAGCGCAAACAGCCCUUAGACAGUUCUUGUGGACUGUGCGGGAAUUUCCCUAGGAUGUUUACCAGAGAAUUUGGACGUUAUAGACUGUGCAUAUAUUUAAUUUUACUACGUAGCUACACACUACGCUCUGGAACAUCUACAUCCUUCUACACCCCGCCAACACCCCGCAUCUCUGCCAAGUAUUUCCCAUCACUUUUAUUUUUCAACUUUAAUAGAUGCAAAGUCGUAUCUCAUUCUGUUAAUUUGGAUUUGGCGGGUUACCAAUGAUUUUGAGCGUCUCAUAAUAUGCUUGUUACUUUUCUGUUUCCUCUUCUGAAAUUACCUAUUUAUACUCUUUAUCCAUUUUUCUAUAUUGUGGUUGUUGUUUUCUUCUUGAUUUGUAGUCCACAUAGAGUAUACAUCCCUUGCCAAUUUUAGAUAUUGCAAAUAUUUUCUCCCCUUUUGGCCAUUAUCUAUUUACUUUCCUCAUGAUGUCUUUUGUUGAAGAGAAAUCCUUAAUUUUCAUGUAUUUAUAUUUAUAUUGUUCUUUCCCACUGAUGUGUAGUGUCUCUUCUCCCAUAUGUUAGAUCCCUGUAUACACAUGGGUAUGCUCUGAGCUCUCUUCUCCAUCCCACUCUCAAUUCCUGUUUACCACAUUGCUUUCAUAACUAUGGCUUUAAAAUAUGUCU